UCUUUCUUCUUCUUUUUCCGAUUUCGAUCGUGUCCCCGUUUGUCAAAUCUCCGAUUCCGAUUUCGAUUCGACUCCUCAUCGAUCCUCGGCGUCCGACUCUUACGCCUAGGGUUUUUUAUCCCGCGAUCUUCUGUUUUUUAAGUUGAAACCUGCAGAUGAAAAUUCUUUUCCUUCCUCCAGAAGGCUGCCAACUUCGGAUAUGUUCCAUGAGCAUCUCUGCUUUGCUUCUCUUGAAGGAGGUUAUGCAUCAGAUCAACAAAUUGGCUCUCAAACCAUGCUAAAUGAGAAAGAUGAAGGGGCAGCAAAAAGCUAGUGGCCAUAUCUUCAACGAAAAAACUUCCAUUGUCAAACCAAAUGCAGUAGUGCUUAUUCUCAAUGCAGCAACUGAUAGUUUCGAUUGCAAGAAGUUGAAAGAACCUUUCAAAAAUGAACUAAGAACAAUCUUGAGAAGGCUAAACUGAAAUGGAAGGGCCCUAAAUCAAAUCUUGAUACUAACCACUGAACUCUAAACUUGAACACUGAAUCUUCUGUACUAAAAACAAUCUCGAAGGAGAAAAACGAACUCAAAUUUAAGAGCUAAGAUGAAGAAACCUUACCAACGGGGACCCUUGGAGAGAGAGAAGAGAGCACCCAUUUUGAAAAGAUGGGAAUUGACGGAGGCCGAUCAUAACGGUGGCUUCUCCAUAUUUUGUUGCAAUGGAAGUCCUCCACAGGUGAUAUUUUUCAUUUAGGUAAAUAAAAGAACCAAUCCAUAUUCACCAGAAAUAUAGCUGUGGAAGGGAGGGCCAGGCUAGGAAAGGACAUCAAGAUUUUCUUCUAUCUACUCACUCUUUCUACCUCUCUUACUGAUAAAAUUGCAUUUUGUAGGGAUAAAAAAUAGAAUACAUAUAGCAACUAUGUAGAGUAGUUGAAAAGAAAGGAAGUAAGUCCAUCUCUCUCUCGACUUCAAGUACUCUUUGUCAAUCCCUCUCUCUUUUCUUCAAGUUUUAUUGUUGUAUGAUUAAUUUUUAGGUAAACAAAAGAACCUUUCCAUACUCACCCAAAAUGUGGCUGUGGAAGGGAAGAUCUGACUAGGAAAAGACAUCAAAGUUUGUUUCUCUCUCUACUCACCCUUUCUCUCUAUCUCAUUGAUAAAAAUACAUUUUGUAGGGAUGGAAAAUAGAAUACAUAUAGCAAAUACGUACAAAAGUUGAAAAGAGAAAAAGUUGCAGACCUUCCAUCUCUCUCUCGGUCUUCUUCCUCUCUCGACUCAGGUACUCUUUCUCAAUCACUAUCUUCUUUCUUCAAGUUCAAUUGUUGUAUGAUUAUUUUUUAGAUAAAUAUGAGAACCAAUCCAAACUCCCCCAACAUACAGCUAUGGAACGGAGGGUUACACUAAGAAAUAACAUCAAGGUUUGUUUCUCUCUCUUUACUCACCUUUUCUCUCUAUCAUUGAUAAAAAUACAUUUUGUAGGGGUUGAAAAUAGAAUACAUAUAUCAAAUACAUACAGAAGUUGAAAAGAAAAGAAGUUGCAAUAUCUCUCUCUCUCUCUCAAUCUUCUUGCUCUCUCGACUUUAGGUACUCUUUCUCAAAACGUCUCUCUUUUCUUCAAGUUUAAUUGUUGUAUGAUUAUUUUUUAGGUAAAUAAAAGAACAAAUCCAAACUCACCCAAAAUAUAGCUAUGGAAUGGAGGGUUAUGCUAGAAAGGACAUCAAGGUAACUGAAAGAACCAAAUCCAGACUCACCCAACAUAUAGCUAUGGAAGGGAGGGCCUAGAUAAGAAAGAACAUCAAGGUUUUUUCUCUCUCUUUACUUGCACUUUCUCCCCCUUUCGCUGAUAAAAAAAUAUUUUGUAGGCAUGCAAAAUAAAAUACAUAUAGCAAAUACGUAUAGAAGUUAAAAAGAAAAGAAGUUGCAAUCCUUCCAUAUCUCUCACUCGAUCUUCUUCCUCUCUCGACUUCAGGGUUGGAAAUAUAAUGCAUAUAGCAAAUAUGUAGAAAAGUUGAAGAGAAAAGAAGUUGUAAUCCUUCUAUCCCUCUCUCUCGAUUUUCUUUCUCUCUCGACUUCAGGUACUCUUUCUCAAUCUCUCUCUCUUUUUAUCAAGUUUAAUUCUUGUAUGAUUAUUUUUUAGGUAAAUUAAAGAACUCAUCUAGAGUCUAAACUCAUCCAAAAUAUAGCUAUGGAAUGAAGGGUUAGGCUAAGAAAGGACAUCAAGAGUUGGUUCUCUCUCUAGUCACUCUUUCUCCCUUUCUCACUUAUAAAAAUGCAUUUCGUAGGGAUGGAAAUUAGAGUACAUAUAGCAAAUAUGUACAGAAGUUAAAAAGAAAGGAAGUCGUAUUCCUUCCAUUUCUCUCUCUCUAUCUUCUUCCUCUCUCUACUUCAGGUACUCUUUUACUAUUCCUUUCGCUUUUCUUUAAGUUUAAUUAUUGUAUGAUUAUUUUUUAGGUAAAUAAAAGAACCAAUUCAUACUCACCCAAAAAAUAGAUAUGGAAGGGAGGGUCAGGCUAGGAAAGGACAUUGAGUGAUGUAAGGGAGAAUAUAUAUAGCAAAUACGUACAAAAGUUGAAAAGAAAGGAAGUUGUAAUCAUUUCAUCUCUCUCGACUUCAGGUACUCUUUCUCAAUCUCUCUCUUUUCUUGAACUUUAAUUGUUGUAUGAUUAUUUUUGCUGGUUAAUAAAAGAACCAAUCCAGGUCCACUUAAAAUAUAGCUAUAUAAGGGAGGGUUAAGAAAGGACAUCAAGGUUUGUUUCUCUCUCUCCUCUCUUUUUCCCUCUCUCACCGAUAAAAUUGCAUUUUAUGGGGAUGGAAAAUUGAAUACUUUUAAGAUAUGUAUAAAUGAUUAAAUUUACCCUAACACAUCAACUGAAAAUUUUGGGUUCAUUGGUGAUUCAACCUGUUUAAAAAACUUAAUGGGUUUAAAUAUGGAAAUGGCCUAGUUGAGAAGAUAAAUAUGAGCCCAACCCAUCACUUACAGGUCAAGUAGGCAAGACCGGUUUAAGGGAGUUGGCUGUUUGACCAUAAGGAGCUCUUGAAUCUCUAUUGGCUCUUGUAACUCCUCUUUGAAUAUAAAUAAUAGAAGUUGGGUUCUAUCAUGUUGCCUUAAAAUGAUGGUUGUCACGAGAUGAUUGUUGCCUCGGAAAAAGGAACCAAUGGUAUCCUCGACGGUGGUCGUCCCUAAAUGUUAGUUCUCUUGAAAUAAUUGGACUAGUGGUUGCCAUCGUUAUGGAAGUUCCUCAAUAUUGGUUGCCUCAAAACAUACGACCCAUGGUUGCAUGGAUAUGAUGGUUGUCCCUGAAUAUUGGCUGACCUUGAAAUAUAUGACACCAAUAGUUGCCUCAACAUUGUUGUGAUCGCGAAAUGAUGGUUGUCAAAAAAUGUUUGUUGCUUCAAAAUGAUGGUUGUCUCAAAAUAGUUAACUUAAAAUGUUGUUUGUCCCUUGGUAUUGGUUGCCUUAAAAUUUAGGAUUAAUGGUUGCCUUAAUAUGUCGAUUGUCCCUAAAUAUUAGUUCCUCUAAAUGUAGGACCAAUGGUUGCCUUGAUUUGUCGGUUUUCCCUAAACAUUGGUUGCCUCGAGAUAAAGCUCCAAUGAUUGUCACGAUAUGUUGGUUGUCCCUAAAUAUUAGCUAACCUUGAAAUAUAUGACACCAAUUGUUGCCUCAAAAUUUUUGUGAUCGCGAAAUGAUGGUUGUCCAAAAAUUUUUGUUGCUUCGAAAUGAUGGUUGUCUCAAAAUAGUUGCCUUAAAAUAUUGUUUGUCCCUUAGUAUUGGUUGCCUUAAAAUUUAGGAUUAAUGGUUGCCUUAAUAUGUCGAUGUCCCUAAAUAUAGGACCAAUUGUUGUCUUGAUUUGUCGAUUGUCCCUAAACAUUGGUUGCCUCGAGAUAAAGCGCCAAUGAUUGUCACGAUAUCUUGGUUGUCCCUAAAUAUUGGCUAACCUAGGAAUAUAUGACACCAAUAAUUGCCUAAAAAUUUAAUAGCAAAGAACUUAGAGGGAAUGGGUUCAAACCAUGGUGGUCACCUACCUAGGAUUUAAUAUCCUAUGAGUUUCCUUGUCAAUCAAAUGUAGUAGGGUCGGGCGGUUGGCCCGUGAAUAGCCGAGGUGCGUGCAAGCUGGCCCGAACACACAGAUAUCAAAAAUAAUAAUAAUAAUAAUUGCCUAAAAUUUUUUGUGAUCACGAAAUGAUGGUUGUCCAAAAAUGUUUGUCGCUUCAAAAUGAUGGUUGUCUCAAAAUAGUUGCCUUAAAAUGUUGCUUGUCCCUUCGAGUUGCUAGUUAUCCCUAAACAUCGGUUGCCUCAAGAUAAAGCACCAAUGAUUGUUACAAUAUGUUGGUUGUCCCUAAAAAUUGGUUGACUUUGAAAUAUAUGUGACACUAAUAGUUUCCAAAAAACUUUUCUGAUUGCGCAAUGAUGGUUGUCCAAAAAUUUUUGUUACUCCAAAAUGAUGGUUGUCCCAAAAUAUUUGUUACCUUGAUGUGAUAGUUAUCUAAAAAAGAAUGGCUGGUUAGAUAUUUCUAUUGGCCUAAAAGGCCAACAUAGGUACUAAUAGUUAUUUUUUUGUUAGUUCUUUUUAUCGAAACUAACAUCCGUUGGUUCAGCAUCGGUUAAUGCAGCUUCUCUUGAAGGGGAACCAUUAGUCUGAUAAAGAUCCUUGAUCCCUUUUUCGAAUACAAUUCUGACAUCCACUUAAACUAUUCGUAUAAAUGUGUACUCUUUUCAAGCUACCAAUUUAUGGCAAAUAAGCUGCAAUAUUGUCAUAACUAGUUCCAAAAAUUACUUCGCAAGGAACCGUUCCUAAACUUUUUAGAAAGGGUUGCGUAUUUCUACACCUUGAAAACAUGUUGGUAGGCAUCUUCACCAUCUGCAAUGUCCUCUAACGAUCUCAGUGACCAAAAAUUUCCUCUUUCGGCUUGAAGUUCGACCAUGAACCUCGCUGAGAAUAUUAGUUGCCUCAUUAUUUUGUCCUGUUUAUCGAUCACUUCAAUAAUUUUUUCUUGUUGCUUCAGUUAAGUAUUUGCUUCAAGAUAUUGAUGUCUUGACAUAAUUUUUUCUUGUUGCUUCAGUUAAGUAUUUGCUUCAAGAUAUUGAUGUCUUGACAUAAUGGAUGAUCGUAAAGAUUAGUAGUCGUAAGAUAAUUGUUGACUCCAAAUAUUGAUGAUGAAUUGUUACUUCAAUGUAAUUAUGUGUCUUGAUAUAAUAAAUAUCUCAAUGUAUUGAUUGUCUUAAUCUGAUAGUUAAUAUUAUUAUCGGCUUUUUAGAAAUUGAUUUGGAAGUUGGGGAUGAUUUUCGUCCCUUGUAGAGGGGAGAUUUUU
Non-coding RNA from Momordica charantia (bitter melon), 5284 nucleotides. The record is from RefSeq and is a predicted model, not a curated record. Lineage: Eukaryota; Viridiplantae; Streptophyta; Magnoliopsida; Cucurbitales; Cucurbitaceae.